Ostrea edulis (European flat oyster) is the source of this 665-nucleotide long non-coding RNA. RefSeq lists it as uncharacterized. The record is from RefSeq and is a predicted model, not a curated record. The transcript has 2 exons. Lineage: Eukaryota; Metazoa; Mollusca; Bivalvia; Ostreida; Ostreidae.
AUGAACUACUAGAAGGAGAGUAUGCAAAAAAUCAACAAGAGCUCCCUGUAACAAUCACGAGUAUGCCAUAUCGAAUACGCCCUUGAAAUUUGAAUUACCCAUAAUUCUCCGCAAAUAGCUCAGUGGCGCUCGAACAAUAGUGGCCGGGUCAUUUCCAGCAGAGUCGCCAUGUAAGACAGACGGGUACAUUGUCACAGCGGGCUAAUAUCUUCAUUCGUUCAAGAAUUCAAUUUUAGUUAGGGAACUUAUGACUUGGGCACGGAUAGCAGACCGUGCGUCAUAUCUGUGAUGAUGAUGAUCGUGAUGGUGACUUCAUCGUGGUGAUGAUAAUUGUGACGAUGGUGAUGAUAUCAACGUGGAUUGUCUCGGACAUCCUAUACCAUUCCCAGCUUUGGAUAUAAAGCCCGGAAGGACUGGAGGGAUUGGGUGUGACAUCUACAGUUUGAUGUGACUUUUUGUGAUACAAAACGAUCCAUUCUAUUGGCAAUUUAAUUUUCCCGGGUUUUCUUUUGUUUGAAUUUUUAUACAUAUACGAUAGGUACUGUUUUCCUGUUAUCGUGAAUAUUAGUUUUUUGUUUUUUUUUGGUAGGUGUGUGAUUGGUGUGAGACUGUUACCUAUAUAUCUUCCUUUUAUUUGAAAAUAAUUUUUUUUCAAUAAUUCUUCA